Molecule: unclassified non-coding RNA, 771 nt
Filed under: Hevea brasiliensis (rubber tree)
Lineage: Eukaryota; Viridiplantae; Streptophyta; Magnoliopsida; Malpighiales; Euphorbiaceae
Source: RNAcentral
AAAAAAAAAAAGAGAAAGAAAAAACAUACAAUGAGGCUUAAAAUUUACUGGUAAGUAAAGAAUACACUCAACCAACAUAGUCUGAACACUCCUUGUACACUACACCCAGCGAGUCAAAUCCUAGUAAAUCCUACUAUGAUUAAUCAAGCUCAAGUUUUGAAGUCCUCGAAACACGCAAAAAAAAUUUUUAAAUUUCCAACUUAUUUGAUCUGGCAUUUGUCCAUAUAUCAUGAAUCUGCAUUAUAGCCAGACAAACCCACAACUCGCUGGUCGAAACAGACAAAAAAAGAAUUUUACCUAGCUCAAGAAAUCAAAUAUAGCAGGUGGGCGCACAUAAUAUCACUUACUCAAAAUGCCGGUUGAGAAAAAACCCUAACGCAUUUUAAAAUUCCCAUAUUUUGCCAACCAUUUCUGAGAAAUCAAACAGACUUUUUAAAACAAUCAACAAACACAGAAACAAUGAAAUUUGACACGAUCAAUAAGAGAUUACGCAGUGGAAAUUGAGCUACUUUGAUUGAAUUAGUUCUUCACGAAUAAGGGGGUUAAAAUAAGCAAAAUUAAGAGUCACAAUCAUCAUUAACUUAAUGAUCAACGGCGAAACAUGUAGUAGUAGAGUAGUACUUCUUGAAAGGCACUGUAACGAAUUAAAUCUUGCAGAGAAACAGAGAGAUUGUGAAAUCGUACCUCAAUUGAUUUCUUUUUCCUUCUGUAAGAUAUUGAUCGACAGGAGUUGGUGAUCGAGACGAUGAGGGAGGGAGGGAGGGAGGGAGG